This 253-nucleotide ribosomal RNA is filed under the name uncultured bacterium. RNAcentral describes it as "partial 16S ribosomal RNA". It matches the Rfam family "Bacterial small subunit ribosomal RNA", at positions 524 to 776 of the family's 1533-position model. The record is from RNAcentral.
UACGAAGGGGGCUAGCGUUGCUCGGAAUCACUGGGCGUAAAGCGCACGCAGGCGGACUCUUAAGUCGGUGGUGAAAUCCUGGAGCUCAACUCCAGAACUGCCUUCGAUACUGAGAGUCUCGAGUCCGGGAGAGGUGAGUGGAACUGCGAGUGUAGAGGUGAAAUUCGUAGAUAUUCGGAAGAACACCAGUGGCGAAGGCGGCUCACUGGACUGGUAUUGACGCUGAGGUGCGAAAGUGUGGGGAGCAAACAGG